This 119-nucleotide ribosomal RNA is filed under the name Hippocampus comes (tiger tail seahorse). The record is from RNAcentral. Lineage: Eukaryota; Metazoa; Chordata; Actinopteri; Syngnathiformes; Syngnathidae.
UUUUACGGCCAUACCACCCUCCGUAUGCCCGAUUUCAUCCGAUGUCGAAAGCUCAGCAGGGGCGUCUCUGGUUAGUGCUUGGAUGCGAGGCCGCCUGGGAAUACCAGGUCCUGUGAGCU